AAUCCGGGGUUUCAAGGCCGAGAGCUGAUGACGAGUCGUCUUUUAGAUGACGAAGUGGUUGAUGCCAUGCUUCCAAGAAAAGCUUCUAAGCUUCAGGUAACCAGGAACCGUACCCCAAACCGACACAGGUGGUCGGGUAGAGAAUACCAAGGCGCUUGAGAGAACUCGGGUGAAGGAACUAGGCAAAAUGGCACCGUAACUUCGGGAGAAGGUGCGCCGGCUAGGGUGAAGGAUUUACUCCGUAAGCUCUGGCUGGUCGAAGAUACCAGGCCGCUGCGACUGUUUAUUAAAAACACAGCACUCUGCAAACACGAAAGUGGACGUAUAGGGUGUGACGCCUCCCCGGUGCCGGAAGGUUAAUUGAUGGGGUUAGCGCAAGCGAAGCUCUUGAUCGAAGCCCCGGUAAACGGCGGCCGUAACCAUAACGGUCCUAAGGUAGCGAAAUUCCUUGUCGGGUAAGUUCCGACCUGCACGAAUGGCGUAACGAUGGCGGCGCUGUCUCCACCCGAGACUCAGUGAAAUUGAAAUCGCUGUGAAGAUGCAGUGUAUCCGCGGCUAGACGGAAAGACCCCGUGAACCUUUACUGUAGCUUUGCACUGGACUUUGAGCCUGCUUGUGUAGGAUAGGUGGGAGGCUUUGAAGCGUGGACGCCAGUUCGCGUGGAGCCAUCCUUGAAAUACCACCCUGGCAUGCUUGAGGUUCUAACUCUGGUCCGUAAUCCGGAUCGAGGACAGUGUAUGGUGGGCAGUUUGACUGGGGCGGUCUCCUCCUAAAGAGUAACGGAGGAGUACGAAGGUGCGCUCAGACCGGUCGGAAAUCGGUCGCAGAGUAUAAAGGCAAAAGCGCGCUUGACUGCGAGACAGACACGUCGAGCAGGUACGAAAGUAGGUCUUAGUGAUCCGGUGGUUCUGUAUGGAAGGGCCAUCGCUCAACGGAUAAAAGGUACUCCGGGGAUAACAGGCUGAUACCGCCCAAGAGUUCAUAUCGACGGCGGUGUUUGGCACCUCGAUGUCGGCUCAUCACAUCCUGGGGCUGAAGCCGGUCCCAAGGGUAUGGCUGUUCGCCAUUUAAAGUGGUACGCGAGCUGGGUUUAGAACGUCGUGAGACAGUUCGGUCCCUAUCUGCCGUGGACGUUUGAGAUUUGAGAGGGGCUGCUCCUAGUACGAGAGGACCGGAGUGGACGAACCUCUGGUGUUCCGGUUGUCACGCCAGUGGCAUUGCCGGGUAGCUAUGUUCGGAAAAGAUAACCGCUGAAAGCAUCUAAGCGGGAAACUUGCCUCAAGAUGAGAUCUCACUGGGAACUUGAUUCCCCUGAAGGGCCGUCGAAGACUACGACGUUGAUAGGCUGGGUGUGUAAGCGUUGUGAGGCGUUGAGCUAACCAGUACUAAUUGCCCGU
This 1397-nucleotide ribosomal RNA is filed under the name metagenome. Its description in RNAcentral is "bacterial LSU rRNA". It matches the Rfam family "Bacterial large subunit ribosomal RNA", at positions 1539 to 2912 of the family's 2925-position model. The record is from RNAcentral.